RNAcentral lists this ribosomal RNA (443 nucleotides) under uncultured bacterium. RNAcentral describes it as "bacterial SSU rRNA". It matches the Rfam family "Bacterial small subunit ribosomal RNA", at positions 28 to 505 of the family's 1533-position model. The record is from RNAcentral.
GGUGAACGCUGGCGGUGCGCCUAAUACAUGCAAGUCGAACGAAAAACUGAAUUUAUUCAGUGGAAAGUGGCGGACGAGCGAGUAACACGUAAGAACCUGCCCCAUACUCGGGGAUAACUGGCCGAAAGGUCAGCUAAUACCGGAUAGUCUCUUCGGAGUAAAGAUUUAUCGGUGUGGGAGGGGCUUGCGGCUUAUCAGUUUGUUGGUGGGGUAAUGGCCUACCAAGACUAUGACGAGUAGCUGAUGUGAGAGCAUGAUCAGCCGCGAUGGAACUGAGACACGGUCCAUACUCCUACGGGAGGCAGCAGUAAGGAAUCUUCCGCAAUGGGCGAAAGCCUGACGGAGCGACACCGCGUGGUGGAUGACGCUUUUCGGAGUGUAAACACCUUUUAUGAGGGAAGAAAAUCUGACGGUACCUCAUGAAUAAGCCCCGGCUAAUUACG